Molecule: long non-coding RNA, 2598 nt
Filed under: Homo sapiens (human)
Lineage: Eukaryota; Metazoa; Chordata; Mammalia; Primates; Hominidae
Description: HSALNT0377449
Source: RNAcentral
GUCGCCUUGCGCGGCUGGAGCCCUGGAGCCCACGGCCGGGGCCGCGGGCGGGGCCCGGGACUGCGGUGCUGCGCCCGAGCACGUACUGAGGCGUGGCCUGCCGCGCGCCGGGCGGGGCUCGGGAAGUUUCUCGGGUUGGCUUGGGUUUCGCAUCCUCAUCAUGUAGCGCCAGCCACACCAGGAACAGAAGGGUGCCGGGUACCUUCCGCAUGCUUGGUAUUCUCCCCGCGGGGCUCUGACCGCUGCCGCUCUCAGGCACCUGUCUUUCCUCUCCGUCCCAGAAUGGAGCCAAGACAAGGGAAUAAACGAAAUUCAAUAGUACACGGAGAUCGGGUGUCUGGGCAGCGUCUUGGAAAAACUAUCCACUACAGUACAGGUCAAGUGAAGUUCUUCUGCUGAUAUGUUCUGCUACUGCAUAAGAGACGGAAUCUAUGUUGCCUCGACUGGUCCUGAACUCCUGGGCUAAAGCGAUCCUUCUGCCUUGGCCUCCCAAAGUGCGAGGAUUAUAGCUUUUUUCCCCCCUCUGCUCCCACACCACAGCAAUCAACAACACAGAAGACAACUUCUGCAACCCUAUCGGGAGAGGAGGGGUUCUCUCCACCACCAGAUUAUUCCUGACUAGUGAUAUAAAUAAAAUCUUUCCUGGUCCAGAAUUGGUGUUGAGCCUCUCAACAAAUCUUUGAGCCCUGAUUAUAUAUAAGGUAUUGUGCCAGGUGCAGUGGCUCACGCCUGUAAUCCCAGCACUUUGGGAGGCUGAGGUGGGCGGAUCACCUGAGGUCGGGAGUUCGAGACCAGCCUGACCAACAUGGAGAAACCCCGUCUCUACUAAAAAUACAAAAUUAGCUAGGCAUGUUGCCACGUGCCUGUAACCCCAGCUACUCGGGAGGCUGAGGCAGGAGAAUCAACUGAACCUGGGAGAUGGAGGUUGUGGUGAGCUGAGAUUACACCAUUGCACUCCAGCCUGGGCAACAAGAGCAAAACUCCAUUUCAAAAAAAAGAAGUAUUGUGCUAGAUAAAUAAAACAACAAAAAUGUGUAUGUAAAGUUUUUACUCUAAGAUGAAGGUUCUCAAACGUCAGUUUUCAUCACAGUCCCCUGGAAGAAUUCUCAAAACACAGAAUGCUUGCCAAGUCAAUCCUAAGCCAAAAGAACAAAGCUGGAGGCAUCACACUACCUGACUUCAAACUAUACUACAAGGAUGCAGUAACCAAAACAGCAUGGUACUGGUACCAAAACAGAGAUAUAGACCAAUGGAACAGAACAGAGCCCUCAGAAAUAAUGCCGCUUAUCUACAACCAUCUGAUCUUUGACAAACCUGACAAAAACAAGAAAUGGGGAAAGGAUUCCCUAUUUAAUAAAUGGUGCUGGGAAAACUGGCUAGCCAUAUGCAGAAAGCUGAAACUGGAUCCCUUCCUUACACCUUAUGCUAAAAUUAAUUCAAGAUGGAUUAAAGACUUAAAUGUUAGACCUAAAACCAUAAAAACCGUAGAAUAAAACCUAGGCAAUACCAUUCAGGACAUAGGCAUGGGCAAGGACUUCAUGUUUAAAACACCAAAAGCCAUGGCAACAGAAGCCAAAAUUGACAAAUAGGAUCUAAUUAAACUAAAGAGCUUCUGCACAGCAAAAGAAACUACCAUCAGAGUGAACAGGCAACCUACAGAAUGGGAGAAAAUUUUUGCAAUCUACUCAUCUGACAAAGGGCUAGUAUCCAGAAUCUACAAUGAACUCAAACAAAUUUACAAGAAAAAAACAACCCCAUCAAAAAGUGGGCAAACGAUAUGAACAGACACUUCUCAAAAGACGACAUUUAUGCUGCCAAAAGACACAUGAAAAAAUGCUCAUCAUCACUGGCCAUCAGAGAAAUGCAAAUCAAAACCACAAUGAGAUACCAUCUCACACCAGUUAGAAUGGCGAUCAUUAAAAAGUCAGGAAACAACAGGUGCUGGAGAGGAUGUGGAGAAACAGGAACACUUUUACACUGUUAGUGGGACUGUAAACUAGUUCAACCAUUGUGGAAGUCAGUGUGGCGAUUCCUCAGGGAUCUAGAACUAGAAAUACCAUUUGACCCAGCCAUCCCAUUACUGGGUAUAUACCCAAAGGAUUAUAAAUCAUGCUGCUAUAAAGACACAUGCACACGUAUGUUUAUUGUGGCACUAUUCACAAUAGCAAAGACUUGGAACCAACCCAAAUGUCCAAUAAUGAUAGACUGGAUUAAGAAAAUGUGGCACAUAUACACCAUGGAAUACUAUUCAGCCAUAAAAAAGGAUGAGUUCAUGUCCUUUGUAGGGACAUGGAUGAAGCCGGAAACCAUCAUUCUCAGCAAACUAUCGCAAGGACAAAAAACCAAACACCGCGUGUUCUCACUCAUAGGUAGGAACUGAACAAUGAGAACACAUGGACACAGGAAGGGGAACAUCACACGCCGGGGCCUGUUGUGGGGUGGGGGGAGCGGGGAGGGAUAGCAUUAGGAGAUAUACCUAAUGUUAAAUGACGAGUUACUGGGUGCAGCACACCAACAUGGCACAUGUAUACAUAUGUAACUAACCUGCACGUUGUGCACAUGUACCCUAAAACUUAAAGUAUAAUAAAGAAAAAAAAA